Non-coding RNA from Podarcis lilfordi (Lilford's wall lizard), 696 nucleotides. The record is from the annotation of a GenBank genome assembly. Lineage: Eukaryota; Metazoa; Chordata; Lepidosauria; Squamata; Lacertidae.
CUUCACCCCUUCCCUUUUGACUUGGAGGAACUGAGACUCAGAAAUUCUUCCAUCACCAUAUAUGAAGUCUCUCUCAGAAGGGUGGAGAGACCUGGCCAAAUGUGAUUGGUGGAAAAGUUGCCAUCAUCUCCUUUAAAGAGUGAAUCACAGAGAUGCCUGGAAAGAGACCCAUUUGCCUCAAUAUGCAGAGUGUACCUGGAUUCCUCUCCAUGGAGUGGUCCUGCCUGCUCCUCCUGCUCCUCACUUACCCCACAGGUAACAGAAUGAGUGAAAUCCCCAGGAACAGAUCUGUGCUGAGAUCCAGGUGUGAAUUUUCUAUAGGCGCAACUAAACUUCUUUCUCUUUUCGGGUUUUAAUCUUUUUGCAGGUUCCUCCUCCCAGGUUGUGCUGACUCAGAGGCCCUCAGCAUCCUUUUCCUCAGGUGAGACAGUCCGUCUCUCCUGCACCUUGAAUACUGGAUACAGUAUCAGCAGCUAUAGGGUCGGGUGGUACCAGCAGCUAUCAGGUGGUGCUCCACGGUUUGUAUACCACUACUACAGCAGUAGUAGUCAGGGCAGAGGCACCGGGGUCCCAGAGAGAUUCAGUGUCUCCCCUGAUUCCUCCAGCAACCUCUGGAAUUUAGUGAUCACAGGCGCUCAAGCUGAGGAUGAGGCUGAUUAUUACUGUUGCACAUGGGAUGGCAGCAGCAGCGUGUUC